AAGUCGUCCUGAGUUACUAUAUAAUAGAUAAAACUUUCAACAACGGAUCUCUUGGUUCUGGCAUCGAUGAAGAACGCACCGAAAUGCGAUAAAUAAUGUGAAAUGCAGAAUUCAGUGAAUCAUCGAAUCCUUGAAACCACAAUUGCGCACCAUGGUAUUCC
RNAcentral lists this ribosomal RNA (161 nucleotides) under Sclerotinia sclerotiorum. Its description in RNAcentral is "5.8S ribosomal RNA". The stretch from base 32 to 161 matches the Rfam family "5.8S ribosomal RNA", at positions 1 to 129 of the family's 154-position model. Rfam says of the family: 5.8S ribosomal RNA (5.8S rRNA) is a component of the large subunit of the eukaryotic ribosome. It is transcribed by RNA polymerase I as part of the 45S precursor that also contains 18S and 28S rRNA. The record is from RNAcentral. Lineage: Eukaryota; Fungi; Ascomycota; Leotiomycetes; Helotiales; Sclerotiniaceae.